Pieris rapae (cabbage white) is the source of this 2829-nucleotide long non-coding RNA. RefSeq lists it as uncharacterized. The record is from RefSeq and is a predicted model, not a curated record. Lineage: Eukaryota; Metazoa; Arthropoda; Insecta; Lepidoptera; Pieridae. The transcript has 3 exons.
GCCGGCCGGCGCGUUUGUCAGUUUAAAUCCGACUCUACGAAAACUUCGGGAUCGUAUCGGAAAAGGAAACCAUGUAUUGUGAAUUAACAAUUGCGAUUGGACCAAUGUAUUAUUUAUAAGAGACUCGGGACCAAGUACCGGCAUUCAGGAUAUCUCCUGAAGUCACCCGCAGAUUGUAAUGUCUUGGCGUGAUGCAACUUGUAAUGGUCAACUUCCUCAUCAUGUUUGACGUCGUGUUUGUAUUCUUCUUGUUCCUCAUCGCUGUGACAUGUAUCAUGAAUUAUAUGCCGGGGAGGAAGAGACAGGAAGUGACGCAAGAGGAAGUGGAAAGUGACGUCAUUCCUCCCCCGCCGCUGUUCGCUGGUGAUGAUUACCAAAAGGAGAGAGAUACGUAUGUUGUUAUAUCACCACCGCUUGAAAAUGAUAGGAAGGAUGGGUGUCCAAUUCACGUUGUUUAAUAAAAGUGGAAAAUCAUCGUAGGAGUUUUAAAAAGCCUUAUGUAACUACAAAUAUUAGACAUUUUAGGUACUAAGAUGGGGUUUAUUUUAACGCAUUUAUAGGUAGAUGUUUUAUAGGUCCGAUACAAUUAGUAAAACUUAUUGAAUUUAUACAUUAGGUCCAAGACGAGACAAGAGGGAAUCAAGGCCUGUUGGGAAUAAAGAGAGCUGUAGAAAUUUCUAGGUAGUAUGCAUAUAAUAUUGUAACUGAUGUUUGUAUAUAGAAAAUAUUUAAGUAUUUUAUAACCAAUGGAAUUGUUUUAAUUUUGGCUUGUCUCUACGUGCAUUACUCUUAGGCUAGAAAAAUCGGGUUUUAUUACUAUAGUUCUAUCUUGGUAGUAUAAGAUUACAUUUAUAAGGCGUAAAAGCCUAUAUGCAUACUGUAAAAUUAAUCUCAAUAAAUCGAUAGUGAUUGACAUAUGAAUUGCUGUAGAAGCAACGAUCUAGCCUGCUACCAAAGAACGUAAUAAUAAGAAGCGUAGAAAUUGUACCGUUUUCUUUAUAGGCACAGAUAAUAUUGUAAACUGGAGAUAGGUUCAUGUACACUGUUAAGUUCAAAGUAUUUAUCGCUAAACUAUAGUGGCCAUUGGUUAACAAGAACAAUGUAAACAAGAUCAUUGGCCACUCCUGUGUUAUAAUUAUAAUGACAAAUGUGGCUGAAUUAAAAAUAGUGUGUGCCUAAAAUUUCGUGCCUAUUGCUUGCUUUGUUUGCAAGCUAUGAAGGCCUUCUUUAGCCUAAUGAAUCAUGUAUAAUUUAUUAUAGAAAAUUGUGGUAAUUUGGCAAUUUUUGUUAUGCAAUUUGUGGCCUAAUUCUUUUUAUAUGAUAUGGUUCCAAAUUGAAAUUACGUCCCUAAUUGAAUGGCGAUCACAAACCCCGAUGCUGUGGUAUCCACAGCCUACAUAUAUAGUAGAAUUAAUUGGGACGGCCUUGCGUCAAACUUCAGACCCAGUGUCGCCGCGAUGAUUACCGCUAUUUCUAUUUGUUAUCUAUAUACAUUUUGUACUUGCACUUUUCAUUUCCACACUUAUUACUACUCUGUGGUGUUCUUUUUUAUUGAUUUUGCUUUAUUGCUAGCACGUGGAUAUUUUUUACAAACAAAUGAACAAUAAUUUAGUUACCUUAAACAAAUAGAUAGAAUUUAGACUAGUGAUUAAAAUAAUGAAAUGACAAUACAAUACAUAUUAUACGAAUAUAUAAAUAUCAUAUCCUUCAGCAAUGAAACUAUGUAAUCAUCGUUCUCAUAUUUAAUGUAAUGUUAUGUUUGUAUAGUAUUUGUUAUAAGUCUAUCGGUCUUAUAAUUUAAUUGUAUUCACAUCGGCGCGUAUUUUAGCACGAUUAUGGUCUGUAAAAGCCAUAUACGAACUACAUACUGUAUGUACUUUACAUACAAACAUAAUUUGAUAAGUGAUCUGGGCAGUUUCUUCCAACUCAAACGAAAUUUCUACGCAGUAUACUUUACUAAAUCGAAGCGCUGGACAGAAACCGGUGGAAGCAGAUAGUCCACUCAAGAUGUUUCGUUGCUGACCAUGAGCUGCCGACUAAAGAGAGAGAGAGAGAUACUUAACUACAUUACUACACGAAUGCUAUUCAAAUGACGUACGUUAUAUUAGUUGGAAGAAACGGUGGAACGGUGGUCAUUACUAUUCUAUGACUUUAACUAUUCGAUUGUUCGUGUAGAGAAUGUAAUGAGCCAUUUUGCGUGUUGGCAACUAUAAUAUAUUUUAUUACCAGUAAUGAUUGACGACACACGAGUUAAUUGAAUUAUGUAAAUUCAUUAUUUAUAUGUAUUUUCAGUUAAACAUAUGAACUUAGGUAAAAGUUAUUAUAAAUUCACAAUAAUAUAGCUGUAUCUUGUAGAUAGAUUAGAAAGAAUUAAAAUCUAACUUAAUCUAUGUGAUAUAUAUACACAAUUUUUAAUGCGUAGUAUAAUUAACGUUUUCAAUUGUUAUACGAGUGAAAAAUGGCGGUUUGGAUGUAUGGUUACUCUUAUUUUUAACAAAUAGAUGUUUUCAUAGGUAAUUGUAUUGUUGUAACUUCAUAUGAGAUAUUUUACGCCGUACCAGACUUUUCUUAAUCCAAAGAAUAUGUAAUCUUGGAAGUGAAACUAUAUCACCUUAUGCAUAGGAUAUACCACAUUGUCCAACAAAUGACAACACUAUCGAGGCGGAACGCUUUACAUUUGUUUUGUUUACAGAAACAUAUAGAAUGCUUCCGUAAACGUCUAUUGUUUUGAAUUGUGUGAUUUUAUCCAUUCAUUUAUUUAAACACUUAAGUUAAAUGCAUCGUUUACUGGUUUAAAGAAUGUAAUACAUUUCAUUAUAACUUAAAUAA